Molecule: small RNA, 107 nt
Filed under: Marmota monax (woodchuck)
Lineage: Eukaryota; Metazoa; Chordata; Mammalia; Rodentia; Sciuridae
Source: RNAcentral
GCUGGGUGUAGUGGUGCAUGCCUGUAAUCCCAGCAGCUCAGAAGGCUGAGACAGGAGGAUCGCAAGUUCAAGGCUAGCCUCAGCAAUUUAGUGAGACCCUGUCUCAA